Molecule: long non-coding RNA, 454 nt
Filed under: Heterocephalus glaber (naked mole-rat)
Lineage: Eukaryota; Metazoa; Chordata; Mammalia; Rodentia; Bathyergidae
Description: lncRNA (ENSHGLG00000041356.1)
Source: RNAcentral
GCUCUCAAAUGGGACUCUCACACUUCCGCUCCGUAGGACGGGCCCUGGAGCUGCUUUUGUUGGGAACACAAGCCCACUCCUCUCCCUUAAACUGGAAUGAUCUGGUUAAGUGUGGGAAGAACAGGUUGCUGCUAUUGAAAAUACCAGGUUGCUUCAAAGGAUUAACCGCAAGAGGAAACACGCCUGUUAGAGAAACAGUGGAGGAAGCUGCUUAGAGCACGCGAAAAAACCUGUUCGAAAAGGCACAGGAAACGUUAACACAGGGCCCGAGUGUGUGUGUUCACAGGCCAACCUUGAAUGUCUUCUGGGAGUUUCCAGAGAGGGUACGGCUGCUGCCAGGAGCUCCCCAUCUGUCUGUAGUCUUGUCCUGCAAUUGCAAUUCUGCCUCAUCCUCCCCAAGCAGGGAGAAUGGAGCCUACUGGCAGCUGGUGCCAAUGAGCUUGGGCACUCCCAG